Molecule: ribosomal RNA, 270 nt
Filed under: uncultured Lactobacillus sp.
Lineage: Bacteria; Bacillati; Bacillota; Bacilli; Lactobacillales; Lactobacillaceae
Description: partial 16S ribosomal RNA
Rfam family: Bacterial small subunit ribosomal RNA
Source: RNAcentral
GACGAACGCUGGCGGCAUGCCUAAUACAUGCAAGUCGAACGAGCUUCCGUUGAAUGACGUGCUUGCACUGAUUUUAACAAUGAAGCGAGUGGCGAACUGGUGAGUAACACGUGGGAAAUCUGCCCAGAAGCAGGGGAUAACACUUGGAAACAGGUGCUAAUACCGUAUAACAACAAAAUCCGCAUGGAUUUUGUUUGAAAGGUGGCUUCGGCUAUCACUUCUGGAUGAUCCCGCGGCGUAUUAGUUAGUUGGUGAGGUAAAGGCCCACCA